RNAcentral lists this small nuclear RNA (23 nucleotides) under Arabidopsis thaliana (thale cress). RNAcentral describes it as "snRNA_14949". The record is from RNAcentral. Lineage: Eukaryota; Viridiplantae; Streptophyta; Magnoliopsida; Brassicales; Brassicaceae.
GUCUCUGGUGUCUAAAAAUUUAA